This 95-nucleotide non-coding RNA is filed under the name bovine gut metagenome. The record is from RNAcentral.
AAGAGGGGAGCUGGGUACGUCCCGGCUGAGAAGGCGUAAUCGAGCGCCUAAACCCAUGAACCUGAUCCGGGUAAUGCCGGCGUAGGAAACCAGAU